GGCUCUGCCACCUCCCGGCUGUGGAUGAAGUCUUACCUUUUUAAAACAUCCAUCUCCUUCUCUGUAAAAUAAGGGUACAAAUAAAACUUCAUAACAUUGCUGUGAGGUUUUACAAAAUGCAUAUAUAGUCCUAGAUUAGAUUAAGCAAAAAGUAAAUCAUAGAUGAAAUAAAAAUUAUUUAAAAGUUCUUUUCUCUUUCCUCUUUUCUCUCAGAUCUUUAUCUUGUAUCUUAAUCCGGUAUUUAGAAAACUAAGGAAUAUUUCAUUUUGACUUCUUUAGGAAGAAAAGAAAAAAGAAUUUGGGGGCCAAAAUAAUUAUCUUCAAAUAUUUGAAAGACUGAAAAGCAAUAAACAAAUAAAUAAAUAAACAAGUAAAUAACUGAUAAUGAAUAGUUUUCUGUAUCAAUAAAUAUGGAAUAGAAACCUUUCAAGAUAUAUGAGUGAUCAGAAAAGGACAAAAAAGAUAUGGAGCAGAGUGAGGAGCAAGAUCUGAUGUAACGAAAUGUGGCUUGCUCAGCAUAUCAUCCCAGUCUACAUGCCUUCUGGAUAGACUACAAGAAAUACCUAUUAAUGGACAAAAGACAGGCUGAGGGAGGAAAUGAAGACUAGGCCUGGGAAAAUUUAGGUGACAAUUUUUUAAGUGGGAGUGAGUAGGUUAGGAUAUAAAGAAAGGAUAAGAUAAUUGAUUCAAAAUCUUCUCUAUGACAGGAAUAUGAGAAUUCUUAUAAUAAAAAUUGAUUCCUAUGAGUAACUUUGUCUAGAUACAUUCCAGACAGAAAUAGCACAUUAAAAAAUUAAUCUAGCUUUGGUAAGUAUUUGAAGCAAGCAGUUGGCUGUAGAGAUAUUUGGGCUGCUAAAAUUUCUAUAUAGAAAAUUAAUUCCAUAAGAUGGUGUUUGUGAGUGGGAGGAAAAUGAAAGUCAGUGGAAAGUGACAAUAUUUCAAAAAUAUAAUUCGAUUUCCAG
RNAcentral lists this long non-coding RNA (962 nucleotides) under Macaca mulatta (Rhesus monkey). Its description in RNAcentral is "lncRNA (ENSMMUG00000057800.1)". The record is from RNAcentral. Lineage: Eukaryota; Metazoa; Chordata; Mammalia; Primates; Cercopithecidae.